This 3872-nucleotide long non-coding RNA is filed under the name Homo sapiens (human). Its description in RNAcentral is "long non-coding RNA NONHSAT205086.1". Lineage: Eukaryota; Metazoa; Chordata; Mammalia; Primates; Hominidae. The record is from RNAcentral.
UACUUUCUUGAAGGUUAUUUGAACAUGUUUUAGGGUUGCAUCUUGAUUUAUCUGUAGUGCUUUUGAACCAUAUCGCUCUGCAUGUUUUCUCGGGCCACACACUCACUGGGAGCACGGCAGGGGGAUGAAAGCGAGACCCUUGGUGAGUUUCUUAACCUCCAAGUUGCCUCUGUUUCCUCAUCGGUGAAGAUGAAGCUAAUCAUGCAAAGGGUGUGGAGGUACCAACAGACAUUAGCUCUGAUGAUGGUGGUUUCUGAGCUGAGGAUGCAGACAUGUGUGUGUCCCCAGGGUGCUCCCUGCCUGAGGGUGGGCUCCACACUCACUCUUCGAAGCAGGCUACAGGGUGCUCCCUGCCUGAGGGUGGGCUCCACACUCACUCUCCGAAGCAGGCUACAGGGUGCUCCCUGCCUGAGGGUGGGUUCCACACUCACUCUCCGAAGCAGGCUACAGGGUGCUCCCUGCCUGAGGGUGGGCUCCACACUCACUCUCCGAAGCAGGCUACAGGGUGCUCCCUGCCUGAGGGUGGGCUCCACACUCACUCUCCGAAGCAGGCUACAGGGUGCUCCCUGCCUGAGGGUGGGCUCCACACUCACUCUCCGAAGCAGGCUGGCAUUCUUGUUAGUUGGCAGAUGAGAACACUUGGCUCAAGGAGCUUAAAUGACACCCAAGGGCACACAGAGCCAGGGCCUGGCUGCAUUGCUGUGGGCACCUCCCACACUGCCCUGUGCACACUUCAGCCUUACAGGCCAAAGCACCAAAGAUCUGCUACUGGGUCCUUUAUCUCAGCAAAGAGCCUACCAUUCCUUCCGUCCGCCGCAUCCUCUGCAGGGUGGCAUUUGUCCACUUCCUUUGGUCCUCCUGCCACUGCCUUGGCCAGGCCAGCAUCGUCUCUCCCCUGGCCCCCAUCACCAUGCUUGCCACUGUGCUGUGCCCCUGCCCAGCCUAGUCACUCCUCACAACACUACGCUGCCUCAGGAGCCAAUCUAGCAUUUAACAUGGCUUAGAUCUGGGCCUCUCAAAUUUAAGCAGGCAACAGAACCACGUGGAGGCUGUUAAAACAGUGCUGGGCUCCAUUCCCAGUACUGGAUUCAGUAGGUCUAGGAUGGGGCCCGAGUUUGCAUUUUAAACAAAUUUCCAGCAGAUGCUGGUACUGCAGGGCCAGGGAGCACACUUUGAGAACCACUGACCUAGGUGCUGGCCUCCCGAAUGAGCUCCUGCCAAGGCCUCUGGGGCUCACCUGAGCCACCUCACCCCUCAGGGAUGGGAAGCCCAAUGAUGCCAGGAUGUUCCGGGGUGGCCAGGGCCGAGCACCAUCGGCCUUACCAGCUGGCACCCAGUAAUUGGCUCAAGAACCACCUAUGGAAGGAGAUGCUGGAGGGCUCGUUACCUGGUUGGUCUUUUAGCUGUGGGACCGGGGGAGUACCUCAAGGGCUGGCUCUGUGUCCAAUUCAUUCCUGGGAAAUGUCAGCCAUUCACCAAAACGUCACUCAGAGAAGAGCCAUCACCCAGCCCCCGCCUGGCAGGGCAGUUCAUAAGCAAGUGGAGACCCCAUGUGUCUACGUGAAUCAAAGGAAAAGGCUGUACGGAGGCACACACCAGGGCUCUGGGGGGUGGGGAUGGAAAAUCCCGGGCAGCAGGGGCACUGGGUCACACCUGGACUUGAGGCUAGAGCUGCUGGUCUUCAAGGGAAGGGACAGGAACUCAGAGCAGGGGGUGAGGGCUGGGGGGCAGGACAGACUGACAGCCUGUCCUGUGUGCCUUGCAUACGCCAGGCCCACUACUGGUCUCUAUGCUAGUUAUCUAAGGAAAACUCAGGAGGUGGCUGCUGUUCUCUCUACAGACAAGGAUGUAGGCUCAAGGAGUGGGUCCAGCUCAGGUCUCCAUAGCCAGGUGGUGUGAAGCCCGGGUGAUGACAAAGUCCUCGGUCCCGGCAGCAAGGGCAUUUCAGGGAGCCACUGGUGACACCCUUACACCCUUCCCACAUCAACACAGAGGAACUGAGGCCAGAGAGGACUUGACAGGACUUGUCUCCACUCCCAGUCAGCCAGGCUUGGAGCUGGCCAGAACCGCCCUCCGCCUAGGCCAGGGUACUGAGUGGCAAGCACCCUUGCUUGCAGGUAGAUGACCUAACCCUGACACCAAGCCAGGAACCCAGGGCUUGGGAAACUACAAAUAAGACCACAGAGACUGAGGCCUCGGUGGGCUUGUAGGUGGAGAGCCCUCCCUCAGGCCAGUGUCUACUGCGCUCAGCUCCGGCCCUCCUCAGGGCAGGGUUUUCAGAGACCAGGUUCCUCCUCUGAAACCUCAGCCUGUGGCUCUCUGUGCCUUCAUCCCCGCAGCUGGCAUGGAAAUAAUGAUCUGACCUCCCAGGGGAGGCGGCCCCACGGGCGUGAUGGUGACACCCUGUGGGGGGCAGCCUGGGUAACAUGCAGAGUGCCGAGGGGUAGGCCUGAGCUCAAAUCUGGCUUCUGCCCUCACCGAGCCAUGUGAUCCCAUCCUGGCUACUCCCAUACCUGAGCUGGAGUUUCUUCAGCAGUAGGACCAGGGUGCCGAGGGGACAACAGAACUCCCUCUGAUGAGGGAUCACCCUGCAGCCUCAAGAGGCUCAAAUGCAGAAAGCAGCCCCUGGUGUCACAGUGUACACAGCCUGGAGGCGGCCCAGCAAAACCUGCGGUCCCUUUCCCACGGACCAGAGGUCUCAGACACAGGACCCUUAGGUUGGACACAGUUCUCAGACAUGUUUUAAAAACAAUCCAUGUUCACAAUCCAUUUUUAAAAACAUUCUGAUUAAUUGCCAACAUUUAAAAAUCCAGGAGAUUUUAUAUAAAGGUCUGGAUUUCUGGUUCAUCUUGAAAAUUGGACAGUCAGGUCAUACCAAGUCCACAUUUCACACAGUGACAAAGAUUGGAGCUGAGCGGCUCCCUGGCCCGCCUCACUCAUUCCAUUUCCCCCCUGAUCCUUGGAAGCAUGUGGGUUUCCAAUGCCUGGAGCUAGACUGAGCACCCACAGGCUGCAGCAGUGCAUGGACCCAUCUUUGCUAAAUUUUCUCUCCCACAGCCAAGACUGCAAGCUGAGCAGGCCAUGGAGCCCAUGAGCCGAGGACCAGGGCUUGGGGUUUUCCCAGGGGACUGAGGCAGCCCUUUGCUGCUUGGUCUCACCGGAGAAAAUGGAGGGAGGGAGGAAGUGAAGAAGGGAGGGAGAAAGCUGGCCCCAUCCUAUAAUGCAUCUGGGGGAGCAAGAAUGUGGCUGAUUUAGCUGGAAGAAGGAAAAAUGUACCAAGACCCGAAAGACAGGGAAUGUCCUCACUGGAGGAAAGUGAAGGAAGAAGGCUCUACAGUUCUUCUCCUGGGUUACAAGAGAAGUUAGCUAGCAGGCAGAGAGGAGCUUUGCCCCCAGAGAAGCCUGCAGUGUAGACUCAGCUCUGCCACUUACUGGUAGUGUGACCUUGGGCAAGUCACUCACCUCCCUGAGCCUCCCUUUAGAGUCUUCAUCUCUAAAAUGGGGAUAAUAAACUUACCUUGCGCAACUGUUGUAAAAAAAAAUUAGGAGAUAAUGGAUGCAGAGCACUCAACACAGGUCUCACAGAGCAGGAAGGGAAUGAAAGGCACCCGUGAGUAAUUCCCCAGGCGCCCCUGCCUGCAGGAGACUCAGGCCUGACCUCCAGGGCACCACCCAUCUAAGGGCAUCUUAUGCCAAGGCCUCCAAUGCCCCAGAUGCCAGUCACCUCUAGGAUGCCUCCCCGGAUGGGAAAGGAAACCCAAGGACGGUUGUGGUCGCUGGGAUCCUGGAUCUGAAGCCCGCGGUCGGGGCUGGCAUCUGCUGAGUCAGGCCUGGGAGAGCUGGCAGGAGGGCCAUUUCUCUCUCCAGCAUGA